GGGCGCGGGGCCGCCGUGCACCGUCUCCAUGGCGAGAGGCGCGUCCCGCCGCGCGCACGCGCAAUGGAGGGGAGAGGCGGCUGCAGGCGGCGAGAGCCCAUGGGGGGCGCUCUGAGCAGCCAUGUGGGUCCCAGAGGCCAUGAGGAGAGGCCACCGCUCUGGGUCCAGGGUGAGGAGCCCCUGCCUGAGGAGAGGCUCCCGUACAGCGGGGAGACGCUUGCAACCACCACCAAGAGGCUCCGGGAGAUGUCAGAGAUAGCCGAGCCGCCCUGGGAGAUGUCAGAGAUAGCCGAGCCGCCCCAGGAGAUAGCAGACACAGAUGAGCUGCCCACUGUGCCCCUAUCAGCCGUGCCCAGCAAGGUGCCAUCCCGAGAGAUUAGGAGGAAUCCCUCUGAGAUCAAGCUGCCUCCCUGGCUUGGAAAGUGGGGGACUGGCUCCGAGGAGAAGUCCUCCGCCACACUGCCGGCGCUGCCGCCCACCCCAUCCACGCCAGCAGAGAAGCCCAGCCAGGCGGUGCCCCAGCGGAGCUGUGUGACCCAUGACUGGCAGAAGGAGGUAGUCGUGGAUCCCCUGGACUCUCGGCCAAGGAAGGAUUUGGGCAGUGAGGACUUACAGCGUGGCUACGAUGGACUGCCAAUCCACCAAUUUCUCUCCUCAGUCACUGACAGCGCCCCCCCGAAGGACUGCCCAACCCUCAGGGCUGUGCUGCUGGGGCAAGGGCAGCGGAAGGCCGCAUUGGCAUCCAUGCUCUUCAAGAAAUACAGCAAGGAGACGGAGGAGGAGAUUCGGCCCCGCCCAAAGCGCAUGGAAUCUAUCUCCACCACGCAUGAUGACUACUGUGCCAUGGGCUUCCAGUCCACACCCCAGCCCAUCACCCAGGUACAGUCAGUAGAUAUCCCCCCCAGCAGCUUGCAGCAGCCUCCAGGGAGGCGGCAAGGCUCUUGUCCUGCUGAGCAUGCCAUCCCCUCCGGCUCACAUUUUGCUUCCACUGCAGCGUCACGAUUACUUAACGGAGCAGCCAAGCAGCUUCUGGAUGGAGCAAGCCCGUGGACGGCCGGUAAGGCUCCCACCACCCUGUCCUGCCAGUACCCUGGGACUCUCAGCUGCUGA
This 1110-nucleotide long non-coding RNA is filed under the name Zonotrichia albicollis (white-throated sparrow). Its description in RNAcentral is "lncRNA (ENSZALG00000009362.1)". Lineage: Eukaryota; Metazoa; Chordata; Aves; Passeriformes; Passerellidae. The record is from RNAcentral.